AAGGAGAAGUCGUAACAAGGUUUCCGUAGGUGAACCUGCGGACAUCGUGUGAGCGAGCGUAUUCAAUAAGUCAUAACGACUCUCGGCAACGGAUAUCUCGGCUCUCGCAUCGAUGAAGAACGUAGCAAAAUGCGAUACGUAGUGUGAAUUGCAGGAUCCCGUGAACCAUCGAGUUUUUGAACGCAAGUUGCGCCCGAAGCCUUUAGGCCGAGGGCACGCCUGCCUGGGCGUCACGCACCGUUGACCCCCCAAACCUCCUCGAGAUGUUUGUGGGGGCGUAAAGUGGUUUCCCGUCGGUCUUUGUCCCGCGGUUGGCCUAAAAUUGAAUCCCUAGCCGCGGUGCGCGCGGCAUUCGGUGGUCAACGAUAGCUUUCGUUACCCCGUCGUGCGCUCCCGCGUUGCAAAGGAUGUCACCGAUGUAACCUGAUGCCUAGCUCUGCGAAGAGCGCAGCUUACAACGCGACCCCUGGUCAGGCGGGGCUACCCGCUGAA
Molecule: ribosomal RNA, 492 nt
Filed under: embryophyte environmental sample
Lineage: Eukaryota; Viridiplantae; Streptophyta
Description: eukaryotic LSU rRNA
Rfam family: 5.8S ribosomal RNA (bases 78-233)
Source: RNAcentral